RNAcentral lists this ribosomal RNA (467 nucleotides) under uncultured bacterium. Its description in RNAcentral is "partial 16S ribosomal RNA". It matches the Rfam family "Bacterial small subunit ribosomal RNA", at positions 28 to 507 of the family's 1533-position model. The record is from RNAcentral.
GAUGAACGCUGGCGGCGUGCUUAACACAUGCAAGUCGAACGGAAAGGCUCCUGCUUGCAGGGGUACUCGAGUGGCGAACGGGUGAGUAACACGUGGGUGAUCUGCCCUGCACUUCGGGAUAAGCCUGGGAAACUGGGUCUAAUACCGGAUAGGACCACAUUUUGGAUGGUGUGGUGGAAAGUUUUUCGGUGUGGGAUGAGCUCGCGGCCUAUCAGCUUGUUGGUGGGGUAAUGGCCUACCAAGGCGUCGACGCGUAGCCGGCCUGAGAGGGUGUACGGCCACAUUGGGACUGAGAUACGGCCCAGACUCCUACGGGAGGCAGCAGUGGGGAAUAUUGCACAAUGGGCGCAAGCCUGAUGCAGCGACGCCGCGUGGGGGAUGACGGCCUUCGGGUUGUAAACUCCUUUCGCUAGGGACGAAGCGUUUUUGUGACGGUACCUGGAGAAGAAGCACCGGCUAACUACGUG